UAGGAAUAUUCGUCAAUGGGGGAAACCCUGAACGAGCAAUGCCGCGUGAGUGAUGACGGUCCUUUGGAUUGUAAAACUCUGUUGUAAAGGAAGAAUCGCAAAGAUAGGAAAUGAUCUUUGUUUGACGGUACUUUACCAGAAAGCCCCGGCUAACUACGUGCCAGCAGCCGCGGUAAUACGUAGGGGGCGAGCGUUAUCCGGAUUUAUUGGGCGUAAAGCGUGUGUAAGCGGUUUGUUAAGUCUGAAAUAAAAGCCCGAGGCUCAACUUCGGUUCGUUUCAGAAACUGGCAGACUUGAGUGUGGUAGAGGCAAGUGGAAUUUCUAGUGUAGCGGUAAAAUGCGUAGAUAUUAGAAGGAACACCAGUGGCGAAGGCGACUUGCUGGGCCAUUACUGACGCUGAGACACGAAAGCGUGGGGAGCAAAU
RNAcentral lists this ribosomal RNA (425 nucleotides) under uncultured bacterium. RNAcentral describes it as "bacterial SSU rRNA". It matches the Rfam family "Bacterial small subunit ribosomal RNA", at positions 356 to 773 of the family's 1533-position model. The record is from RNAcentral.